UGCAAGUCGAGCGGCAGCGGGAAGUAGCUUGCUACUUUGCCGGCGAGCGGCGGACGGGUGAGUAAUGUCUGGGAAACUGCCUGAUGGAGGGGGAUAACUACUGGAAACGGUAGCUAAUACCGCAUGACCUCGAAAGAGCAAAGUGGGGGAUCUUCGGACCUCACGCCAUCGGAUGUGCCCAGAUGGGAUUAGCUAGUAGGUGAGGUAAUGGCUCACCUAGGCGACGAUCCCUAGCUGGUCUGAGAGGAUGACCAGCCACACUGGAACUGAGACACGGUCCAGACUCCUACGGGAGGCAGCAGUGGGGAAUAUUGCACAAUGGGCGCAAGCCUGAUGCAGCCAUGCCGCGUGUGUGAAGAAGGCCUUAGGGUUGUAAAGCACUUUCAGCGAGGAGGAAGGCAUCACACUUAAUACGUGUGGUGAUUGACGUUACUCGCAGAAGAAGCACCGGCUAACUCCGUGCCAGCAGCCGCGGUAAUACGGAGGGUGCAAGCGUUAAUCGGAAUUACUGGGCGUAAAGCGCACGCAGGCGGUUUGUUAAGUCAGA
This 547-nucleotide ribosomal RNA is filed under the name Rahnella sp. Its description in RNAcentral is "bacterial SSU rRNA". It matches the Rfam family "Bacterial small subunit ribosomal RNA", at positions 56 to 592 of the family's 1533-position model. The record is from RNAcentral. Lineage: Bacteria; Pseudomonadati; Pseudomonadota; Gammaproteobacteria; Enterobacterales; Yersiniaceae.